AAAAGAAAUAAAGUGUGAAUGACUCAUUUGGAAAACCGUGAACUAGUGAAGAGUGAAGACUGUAGAAAAAAAAAGUGAAGGCUGUGAAGUUGGGCGGCAACAACUAAAAUUGACAAACCCUAACUCCCUAAUCAACAAUUCUCACCUGCCCACCGUCGCUUGGAAACCACCCGCUUGGAAACCACCGCUUGGAAACGCCGCAGGCCCGCCAUACUCAACACAAGGUAGCGAAUGAGUCCUUCACGCAAGUCGGAUUCAUCGAAUGGUGUCUCCCGAAAUUAAAGAUAUAAACGAGAUUGAGAAGAAUUAAAGUUAGGGACGAUUUAACGAGAUGAUGAAUGUUAUGAUGCAAGGAAUGAAUGCAAAGGGGAUUCAAGGGACGAACACACAAAAAUGGUGACGCGGAAAACUCCAAUGAGGGUGGAUAAAAAUCGCGGGUGGAGAUGGUUCCACCAAUCUACUAUCAGGGAUUAUCGUUCCAGAUGAACAACAAUCGUUACAAUUUAAGUUUUGAUCUAAGUACAAAUAUAGAAUGUAAAUCAGAAUAAUGAAUAACUCUUUCUUUUGUAUGCUUUUUUUGUAUCAAUAAUGCCGUAUGUUUCUUUCUGGCCU
Beta vulgaris subsp. vulgaris (sugar beet) is the source of this 612-nucleotide long non-coding RNA. RefSeq lists it as uncharacterized. The transcript is spliced from 3 exons. Lineage: Eukaryota; Viridiplantae; Streptophyta; Magnoliopsida; Caryophyllales; Amaranthaceae. The record is from RefSeq and is a predicted model, not a curated record.